Long non-coding RNA from Ictalurus furcatus (blue catfish), 387 nucleotides. RefSeq lists it as uncharacterized. The transcript has 3 exons. The record is from RefSeq and is a predicted model, not a curated record. Lineage: Eukaryota; Metazoa; Chordata; Actinopteri; Siluriformes; Ictaluridae.
GCGCCUAUCGCUGACGUCAGGCCGCAGACGGUGCAUGGUGGCCUCCUUACCGGUGAAGUUAGCAUUAGCAUUAAACUACCUUUAACGUUAGCGUCAGCCUAGCUUAGCUCCGGGCGCAUUGUUGAACGAGCGCCGUGCUAACUAGUUAACGUUUAAACAACUUCACUUCCCUCCCCCCCCCUUUUCUGUCUAUUUUUUUUUCAUCUUUGGAAGCAGAACCACGAUAAAGCUGAAGGUCUUUUAGGAAAGAUCGUGUUUCUCCACCCCACCCUUUCAACAUUAUUCUUUUUUGAGUGUCAUUCGUUGUCAAGCCGCCAAAGUGGAGAGUGUGGUUGCAGAGGGGGGUGCUUCUCGUUUCAGUGCUUCUUCGGGAGGAGGAGGAGGAGG